RNAcentral lists this long non-coding RNA (560 nucleotides) under Trifolium pratense (red clover). RNAcentral describes it as "long non-coding RNA (TPRA_LNC004668)". Lineage: Eukaryota; Viridiplantae; Streptophyta; Magnoliopsida; Fabales; Fabaceae. The record is from RNAcentral.
GAAGAUGUUGAUCUUGUUGGUGGCCAAAUUUUACAUCAUAUGUUUGAAAUUUGAAUGAGUGUUGAGUUUAGAAUAGUAGCACAAUAAUUCUGUCAAUAUUAAUGCCAAUCUAAACAUCCCAUGUACAUGUGUUGUUGGCUUUCAGUCUUUUUUUUGUUCAUUGUACAUGUAACUUCAUGAGUUCAUGUUGUUCGAGUUUUGAGCUAAACGUUUGUCUCUACAUUCUUACGUUGAGAUUUUGGAAUUAGGUGAAAAAUGAAAGAGAGGCAUCACAAGAUAUAGUUGCCGCAUCUUAUGUCGAUGGACAAUACUCUAUUACGAAUUGCAUUGAAGUCUUGAUAAAUCUCAAGGACAUACUUCUUUUGAAUGGAACACAAUUUAGCUAUGCUUUAGAAUUGAUUAAAGAUAGCAAAAAUAGAGUCAUAGUUGUUUCUUUAAGACAGCGCAANNNUUGUCUUUUCCUUUUGUAAUAAUGAAUCUUUAUUAGCAUUUUGAGUAUUUUCCCUUCAAUUUGUUCUAUCAAUGACUUAUAUGGAAUGUUACAAAAUAUUUUCUGAUGG